RNAcentral lists this ribosomal RNA (462 nucleotides) under uncultured bacterium. Its description in RNAcentral is "partial 16S ribosomal RNA". It matches the Rfam family "Bacterial small subunit ribosomal RNA", at positions 28 to 507 of the family's 1533-position model. The record is from RNAcentral.
GACGAACGCUGGCGGCGUGCUUAACACAUGCAAGUCGAACGGAAAGGCCCUUCGGGGUACUCGAGUGGCGAACGGGUGAGUAACACGUGGGUGAUCUGCCCUGCACUUUGGGAUAAGCCUGGGAAACUGGGUCUAAUACCGAAUAGGACCACGCGCUUCAUGGUGUGUGGUGGAAAGCUUUUGCGGUGUGGGAUGGGCCCGCGGCCUAUCAGCUUGUUGGUGGGGUAAUGGCCUACCAAGGCGACGACGGGUAGCCGGCCUGAGAGGGUGACCGGCCACACUGGGACUGAGAUUCGGCCCAGACUCCUACGGGAGGCAGCAGUGGGGAAUAUUGCACAAUGGGCGCAAGCCUGAUGCAGCGACGCCGCGUGAGGGAUGACGGCCUUCGGGUUGUAAACCUCUUUCAAUAGGGACGAAGCGCAAGUGACGGUACCUAGAGAAGAAGCACCGGCCAACUACGUG